RNAcentral lists this ribosomal RNA (419 nucleotides) under bacterium. RNAcentral describes it as "partial 16S ribosomal RNA". It matches the Rfam family "Bacterial small subunit ribosomal RNA", at positions 355 to 776 of the family's 1533-position model. The record is from RNAcentral.
UGGGGGAUAUUGCACAAUGGGCGAAAGCCUGAUGCAGCGACGCCGCGUGGGGGAUGAAGGCCUUCGGGUUGUAAACUUCUUUUGCUCUGAACAAGGCGCACCAUGGGGUGUGUUGAGUGUAGGGGUUGAUUAGCGCCGGCUAACUACGUGCCAGCAACCGCGGUAAUACGUAGGGCGCGAGCGUUGUCCGGAAUUAUUGGGCGUAAAGGGCUUGUAGGUGGCUGGUUGCGUCUGUCGUGAAAGCUCAUAGCUUAACUGUGGGUUUGCGGUGGGUACGGGCUGGCUUGAGUGCAGUAGGGGAGGCUGGAAUUCCUGGUGUAGCGGUGGAAUGCGCAGAUAUCAGGAGGAAUACCGGUGGCGAAGGCGGGUCUCUGGGCUGUUACUGACACUGAGGAGCGAAAGCAUGGGGAGCGAACAGG